RNAcentral lists this long non-coding RNA (1042 nucleotides) under Lathyrus oleraceus (garden pea). Its description in RNAcentral is "Pisum sativum (pea) long non-coding RNA (PSAT_LNC039799)". Lineage: Eukaryota; Viridiplantae; Streptophyta; Magnoliopsida; Fabales; Fabaceae. The record is from RNAcentral.
ACCAAAAUAGCAGCAUCUCAAAUUUAUUUCCUCAACCACCACAUGGUGUUUUCUCUCUUCAUAGCAUCCAUAGAAUACAAAAGACAUUAGUAAGAACCAAUGAAAAGAAAGAAGAAGGGAUAAAUUCUAAAGUUGUUUAUCAAAGAUUUUCUUUCUUUCAUAUUUGGACUUGGCAAUAACAAUCCAGUGAGUUUGAAUAUGCCUCUGUCAUACCCCUAAAUUUUCCCUCCCCUUUUCACUUUUCAUCUGACUUUUGUUUUUGAUUCAUCUGCAUUCUCUUAGUUAUCUAAGUAAUUCAUUCAUAAUCGCACCUAUUUUUCUUUUAAAACAUCAUUGAUUCAAAGGUUUACUAUUUAUGGUGAAGAGCAUUGGAUUAUGAAUACUGCAUGGGAAAGGGUUUCAUGAUGCAAUUGCUAAUCAAGUCUAUGAUUCAUUGUGCUACAUCUUGAUUGCUUGGACACCACAUGUUUGAGAUUCAUCUGGGAGAAACCCAAAUUCUUUGUACAAUCUUGGGAUGGCGUCAUGGAAUAGGUGAUUGUGAAAGGCACUGUUAAAACAUGGCUUUUGAUGAUCAUGUUCUUAUAAGGUGACAUUUAGUGAUUACUAAUGAUCAUUUCUUGAUUCAUAUUAUGGCAUUCAUACAAGAUCAAGUUUCAUUCAUAAAGCAAGUUCAAUUCCAGUGCAAAAUUUCAAAUGCAAUUUGGAGGGAAAAGUAUAUCUGAAAGAAUAGGUCACAUGCCAUAAUUCAAAGGUCAAAACUCAUUACAAACAUUACAAGUUUCAUUACAAGAUAUACAAAGCCGAGUUCUAUACAAAAAUACACAUUAUUGACUUUAAGUUGACUUUAGUCAACUGAUGACUUUUUGAUCUAUAUUUGACCAAAGUCAAACUAAAUACCCUAACCUCUAAGUCCACUUUGGUAUUCUCUUUUCAAAGAGUUCUUCCACCAUGUCAUGAUUUGCCUUCAUGAUUCUUUUGACUCCAUGAAUUUUGGUCCAUGUAUUCAAAUAAGCCACCACAUUUUUCUUUAAGGACUUCAAAU